AGUAAAAUCAGCUAAAUAAGCUAUUGGGCUCAUACCCUAAAAAUGUUGGAUAAACCCCUUCUUUUACUA
This 69-nucleotide transfer RNA is filed under the name Austrofundulus limnaeus. RNAcentral describes it as "tRNA-Met". It matches the Rfam family "tRNA". From Rfam's summary of the family: Transfer RNA (tRNA) molecules are approximately 80 nucleotides in length. Their secondary structure includes four short double-helical elements and three loops (D, anti-codon, and T loops). The record is from RNAcentral. Lineage: Eukaryota; Metazoa; Chordata; Actinopteri; Cyprinodontiformes; Rivulidae.